This is a long non-coding RNA of Erigeron canadensis, 1551 nucleotides long. RefSeq lists it as uncharacterized. The transcript has 4 exons. The record is from RefSeq and is a predicted model, not a curated record. NCBI's taxonomy places the organism in Eukaryota, Viridiplantae, Streptophyta, Magnoliopsida, Asterales, Asteraceae.
UCAGAGUAUUAGUUGAUAAGUCAUUAGUCACGAUUUCUAGCAGCGGGCUGCUUCAAGUGCAUGACUUGAUUCAAGCAAUGGCAAAGGAAAUUGUACGCGAAGAAUCUAACAGGCCCCUGGAUCGGAGCAGAUUGCGGCUUGUGUUAGAUGUUGUCGAUGUAUUGAGUAAAAAUAAGGUAACACAAGCCAUUGAAGUUCUAGUCCUUAUGCUACAGAAGUCGUUUCAGAAAGUUCACAUAGACUGUAACUCUUUUUCUAGUACGAAUAAUUUAUGAAUCCUCAAAAUUUGUGAUCUAGAAUUGGAAGACUCUGAGCAUGUAUUUGAAUCAGAGUUGGCCAAGGACUCGAAGGUGAACUACUCUGGAAGUUCGGAAUAUUUGUCCAAUGAACUACGUAUGCUUUAUUGGCAUAGAUACCCUUUCAAGUCGCUACCAUCAGAUUUUUAUCCAGAAAACGUUGUUGCCAUUGACAUGUCUUACGGUUACCUCAAAUAUCUUUGGACAACACCAAGGUACAAUCUUAGACAAUCCCAGAUCGUAGUGUAAGCUAGUUCACCACAGAUCGAGUAAAUGGCGACAAAUUUCUAAUUUUUAUAUUAUCAUAACUCACGAACCAAACUUAAGAAGAUCACCAAUGUGGGUGGUCGAGCAUGGUGGAGCUCUGUGUUGAUGAAACUGCCAUGAAGGACCUUGUCCCUUUUCAAUCAUUGUUGAGUAAUAUCCCAGCGGAUUCACUUAGAGAGCAUGAGGGGACCCGAUGGCCUCGAUCAAGAUGAUGGACUUCAACCUUUUGGCCUAAGUCUUUACCACGAAACAUUCCAACACCCCUCCAGUUUGAGAAGUAAUUACAUAGGUAUUGCAUAUUGUGCUCCACGGAAUUAGAAUUCCUCAAUGGUUUACAAAUCAAAGUACAGGAAAUCAUGUAAAGGUAGAGUUGCCUCCUGGUUGGUUGUACAAUAAGUUUAGGGGGGAUAUGGAACGUGUGUUGUUUUCACGGCCAAAAAUCUGUAUCAUAGUUCAUUAAGCCACUUAACAUGCAAAGUAAGAGACGUUUGGAGAUAUUGUCCAUUGUGACGGUGUAGGUCUAGGGACCAUUUUCCCUGUAGAAACUAUAAGAAUUGCUGGGUCAGAUAUAAUAUGGUUUCAUUAUUCAGAGUCAACAAUAGGCUGGAAAAAUAUAAAUAAUUUCAUAGCGUUGCAUUCACUUCUAGUGCGGAUGUUGAAGUAAAGUAGUGUGGUGUAAGACUUGUUUGUGAAGAGGACAUACAAGAAGGCAGCAAUUUGAGUAUGUUCCAUGGCCUCCCAUCUCUAAGACAAGGCAUUUCCUUCCACUCCAAUCAUGCAGGAUCUCAGACACCAUUGAAGAUGAGCCUCCUUGUAAGAGAAACUGUCUUGUUUGAUAAAUGUGGUCUUCCAGUUGAAAAGAUCUGUACUUUUGUGAAUUGUGUUUGAGGAUCAACAGAUCAUUUGUUAACCUCGCCCAAUAUCAACUUGACUUUGCAGACUUUCUGCACUAUUUCAUAUUUUAUUUGAUUUUUCUUUUAACUCUCAA